Molecule: long non-coding RNA, 2649 nt
Filed under: Canis lupus familiaris (dog)
Lineage: Eukaryota; Metazoa; Chordata; Mammalia; Carnivora; Canidae
Description: lncRNA (ENSCAFG00000051501.1, ENSCAFG00845016898.1)
Source: RNAcentral
CCAUGAAAACAGCUUUAUUAUUCUAGUUUUUUCAUUUCUUUGUCACGAAAUUGGAACCAGCAAAGCAGAACACCAAAUGUAGGGCUUGCAAUUUUCUGCUUCAAAAACUGGCAAACCCCACUGAGAAUCCUAGAAAGUGCCACUUUGCUUUCAUUUCACAGUAAAAAGCCAGGCUUGGGGGAAAAAAAAAAAACUGAACAGCCUCUGACAUGGAAUCUGUUUCUGCCCACGUCUGCCUCCCGUGGGGCACCUGUGUCCUCAUAGGGUGGCAGGGGUGCUGGUCUGCCCUCAACCCCACACUUCUGUCUCCCCCUUCCUGAACAGACUCCUUCAAAGCUACACAGAGUGGAGAAAACCUUUCUGAAUACAGCAUGACACCCAGAAGUCAUAAAUAAAAAGAUAAAUUUGGCUACCAAAAAAUAGUCUGUACUAAAAAACAAACAACAUUUAAAAAGCCAAAAGGAGGGGUACCUGGGUGACUCAGUGGGUAAGCAUUUGCCUUCAGCGCAGGGCAUGAUCCCAGGAUCCAGGAAUUGAGUCCCCAUCAGGCUCCCCACAGGACCCUGCUUCUACCUCUGCCUCUGUCUCUGUUUUUUUUUUUUUUUUUUUAAUUUUUUUAAUUAUUUAUUUAUGAUAGUCACAGAGAGAGAGAGAGGUAGAAACCACACAAAUAAUCUGAAGAAAAGAAAAUCUAAUAUAAAGACUUCUUGAAUAGUCACAGGGCUAUCCAGGAAGUGUAAGCGGACUGCAAAGAAGAGAGGAAUGUGAGGUCUGGGAACAGCAUCCCAACAGAUCUGAGAUUCGAACCUGGUUUGAAGGCGCAGCUAUGAUGCAUCGGAGGCCAGGGUGGGCAAGCAGAAAGCCUCCUGCCAGGGCACCCCAACAUGGCUGGGAAGAUGCCCGCUGGGACACCAGCGAGAUGGGCUAACCAGCAGCUGCAGGUGCCAGGAUACCUGCCAUGCAGACCCACCGGGAAGCCGCCCAGUGCCUGAUGUGAUGGAGCGUCACACAGCGCCGGAGCCUGGAAAGAAAGCACUUAACCCCAGAGCAGCAGCCCAUCCUCCUGCAGUGAGCUCCCAGCUCUCUCUACUGACCAAGCUCUCCAUCGUGCCAAGACUCGACAAAGGAAUGUACAGAGUCCAGCAGCAGGGUCACAAAGCCAGGCACAGGAGGACACAUGGGCCCUGAGAGGCAACGCAGCAGCAACUAGCACAGACGGAAACAGACCGCAGGCCAGGAGACGAGGCAGGAAUGCUGCUAAUGCAAUGAAAGCAUUUUUUUUUUUUAACUAAUUCCCUUGGGGCACCUGGGCACUCAGUGGUUGAGCCUCUGCCUUCAGCUCAGGUCAUGAUGCUGGGGUCCUGAAAUCGAGUCCCACAUCGGGUUCCCUGCAGGAACCCUGCUUCUCCCUCUGUCUAUGACUCUGCCGCUCUCUGUAUCUGUCAUGAACGAAUAAAUUAAAAAUCUCAAAUAAAUAAAUAAUAAACUAUCCCCCUGAACCAUAUCCAGUGAAAGUAUCUGUCACGGUGAAGGGCACAAAAGCAGUCAAUAACCCUCUCAAUACAUGGCACUGGGCAGAUGGAUGUCCAUAAAAAGGAACUCAUAGUGGGUCAGGGACUUAAACGUAAAACGUACAAUUAUGAAACUUUUAGAAAACUCAUAGGAGAAAACUUCUAGAUUCCAAGUCUCAGCAGAGUUCUUAGACUUGACACCACAAACAUCACACGUCAGAGGUAAAAAAGAGAAACCAGAUCCCGGCAAAGUUAAACAUGUUUGCUCCACUGAAGACUCUACGUGAAGAGGACGAAAAGACACAUCACACAGCAGAGAGGUCUGCAAACCAUGCACCAAGCAAGGAACUUGACUAAAGGACUCUCACAGCAGAGAAAUAAAACACAGUCCAUCAGAAAAUGACAGCUGAGGGCAUGAAGCAGGGCAGUCGCCAGAAUGAGCACUGUGUGCUAGAUGCAGCUGAUCAAUCAAUAACAAGCUCCAUGUUCACUCAAUUGAACUUAAAUUAAAAAAAGAAAGAAAAUGACAUGAGAUGUGGACAUCUCACUGAGUCGGCCACACACAGGGUGCCCGAGCUUGUCCACAGAUGGUCCACACCACCGCCAAGAGGGAAACAAAAAUUAGAACCACAAGGAGGUAACAUUACACACCUGUCAGACGGCUAAAAUUAAAAACAGGGACACACCAAAUGCUGGUGAAGAUGCAGAGAAACUGGGUCAGCCACACAUUGGCGGUAAGGACAUAAAAUGGUGCAUGCAGCCACUCGGGGAAACAGUGGGGCACUUUCUGACAAAGCUACACAUGUGCUUUAUACAACGCCUCAGGUGUACUUUGGGGCUUCAUCCCAGUGACAUGAAAACACACUUACACACACACACUCCCAUACACAAAUAGUCACAGCAGCUUUAUAGAUAAUGAUCAAAAAAUGGGAAGCAAGGGCAUCUGGGUGGCUCAAUCAGUGAAGCAUCUGCCUUUGCUCGGGUCAUGAUCUCAGGGUCCUGGGAUCGAGCCCCACGUCAGGCUCUCUGUUCAGCGGGGAGUCUGCUUCUGCCUCUUUCUCUCUGCCUGCUGCUCCCCCUGCUUGCAUGGGCACUCUGUCAAAUAAGUAAAAUCUUUAAAAAAAAAAAAAAAAAAAAA